AGCCAUAUAUACAUGCUUGCUAGACUUUGAGCCACAUAUUUACUUUUUACUGCUUAUGAGCAUUGAGUGUGGUCAAGCUGUGUAGACCCUUAGGAGCUUGUCAUGUGGUUAAAAUCAAGAUUCACUUGCACGUUCACUCAUACAUGCUACUUCUACUCCGGAAGUACCAUCCACAUAUAUCCACUCAUUUCCAUCUCCACAUUCACCCGAAAUUAUUCUACUCCUAAUCUGGGAGAGUUAUCUUGGUUACUACCACUUGCUACAUUCUUUCAGGAGAUGAGUGCUCUAAAAAAAUGAGGAAAUAAAAAGGGGCAAGUGCCCGGAACCUCGAAAGAAAAGAAAAAGUGAGACGAGAGGUAAAAAUGGACAAGUGUCCGACAGUAGAAUUAGGGGUACAAGAUACCCACCUGAGAGGAAAGAAAAAGAAAAUAUAGAGCAUCUCAUUCUCCCCAAAAAGCUUCAAAGUGCAAGAAAGGUAUGUAUCCCCUCAAAAGAGCAAAAGUAGAAUUAGACUUUCACCAUUGUUAUCACCGUCAUCACCAUACACCAUUCAUUCGCCACACAUGCACAUCUUGAUUUGACUUAUUGACUUGUUUCUCUGGAUCCAUGGUUUGACUAUGCAAUGUCUUGUAAGUAUGUAUUAGCUGUCUCCCACCUAUGAGCUCCAGAUAUCAAAACCUUAUUAGAGUAGGGUGAGAGAGAAGGUAAUAUCACUAUGCAUUGUACCAAAAAUACCACAUACUUUGAUAGAAGGCAUAUAUCAUUACUGCCUUGGUAAGGAUCUAGAAAUACCACAAAAGAGAGAUUUGAGAGAAUCAUAUAAGGAAUCUCUGAGUUUUAUUUGAAAAUCUGCAAAAACUCCAGAGCUAUAGCUGAUCAAGAAUAAGAGACAUGGCGCUUGACUUGACCGUUCUAUCUUUUAACUGCUCAAGACACAAGUGACGGUUACAAGCCCCAUGGUGAAAGGUAAAAUGAGUAAGUUUUAAGUCUUAACAGUUUAUUCUAACUCAGAGAUGAGAUCUUGUUUGAAUGCGUGUGUACUUUUAAGGCAUGAAACCACUGCAGAAACUCUUGAGUUCAUCCUUGCUCAGGGACGAGCAAGAGGUAAGCUUGGGGGAGUUUGUUGACGGUCCUUAAGUAUCAAAUUUAAUUAUCAAAUAAACAAAGAAAAGAAUCCAAAUGAAAUCAACAUCUAGACUUAGGGUUUUAUCUGACAGAAUUCCACGAGUUUUGGUGUUUGUCUAUUUCUGCAGGGGGUUAUCAGGAAAUAAGGAAGAAAGGCCCACAUUCGGGAUUACAUAGAAAUAUCAACGCAUCGCGCAAUUUUCUACCAUCUAGAAGACUCCAGAAGCCACGGGAAGGAAGCGGAGGCCGAAAGGGGCCAGGCCCAGGGCGCCCGCCUUGAGGACCUGGGCGCCCGCCCCCCUUUGGAUUCCGUUCGGGACUCUCUUCGCACACGACGUUCCACCGACCUAUUGGAUCAAGGAAAACAUAGUACCACAUUGCCUACCGAUCCAAAAAUGCAUAGAGGAGGGGGACUAUAUAAGGAGACCCCCCUGGCCCCUGGAGGAGACAAGAAAUUAUCACAGAGAUUGAGGGUGCCCUCGAAGGAAAACCUCUUCACUAAAUAAUAUUUAUUUUUAGGCUUAGCAACCAAUGUAAAGUAGAAAUAGAUCUUAUAGUUUCUACUAGAUUGAGAGAGAUAGAGUGGAGGUGUGGAUCGGAGGAAGGCCGGCCUGUCGGUGUCUACUCCGAGUUGUACCUACGGGAUCAAGUCUCCUAACCCGAGGCUUGCUUCUAAGAUUCUUCAGUAAUUCGACUUCUAAUUACUAGUAAGUUCUUGUUUUAUUGUUCUUUGGUUUAUGAGUUUACUUUAAUCCUCUUCCGGUUGAGUAUUAGAGUAAUCACUUGCUAGCGUAAACGUGGUGUUUAGGCUAGGGUACUCAUAGAUAUCCCCUGACUAGCUGGACCGUGGUAGUAGCGAGGAACGUGACAUUUCCGAGUUACCUUUGUAUCCCAUAUCUUGUUAGCAGGACGGGUAGGUUUAUAGGUGCGGGUCGAACAUCUUUUGUGUUGUCUAGAUUCCGUGAGCCUCCCCAAUAGAACAGUAGAUCAUCCUUACCAAGGUUAGAACGAGACUACGGUUGCAGUCUUCUCUAUACAUCACUCACAUCGAGAAACAUUCUUUGUAGCCUAAAGGGGUAGUAGCAAUAGAUUUGGUUAGUCAGAUGCACCCUUUCUCCCAGUGGUAAAAAUAUAAAUACGAUAACUCUGGAUAACCUCCCGGGUGAAAUGCUCACCGAUAUCCGUGCGCUUGCGGAUCAUUUCCUUAUUGCGUUACCAAAUAUCAACAGAGAGAUUUGAGAGAAUCAUUGCUGGGAACUCUGAGUUUUAUUUUGAAAAGUUAUGAAAAACUCUAGAACAAAGGUGAAGUAUAGACAGGAGGAAUAGUGCUUGACUUAAUUAUUUUGUCUUUCGAUCACUUAAGAUUUAAGUGCAGGUUCUAAACUCCAUAACACUUCACUCUAAUCUGGAAGAAUUUUAUGCAAAAGCAUGUGUGCCUGUUGUUGACGGUCCUUAAUGCUCACAUUUAACCAUCAACUAAUCAUAGAAAAGGAUCCAAAUGCAACCAACACCUAGACUUAGGGUUUUAUCUGACAGAAUUCCAUGAGUUUUGGUGUUAGUCUAUUUCUGCAGGGGUUAUCAGGAAAUACGGAGGAAAGGCCCACACGUCGGGUUUACAUAGAGAUAUUAACGUGCCGCGCAAUUUUCUAUCAUCUAGAAGACUCCAGAAGCCACGGGACCAAAGCGGAGGCCGAGAGGACAUAGGGACAGGGCGCCCGCCCACCUUUGCUGGGCGCCCGCCCUCAGCCAGAGUCCAAUCAGGACUCUCUUUCGGGAUAUUGCUCCACCGACCUAAAGGAUCAAGAAAAACCACACGAUCAAUGUCGGUUUGAUCCAACGGCCCAGAUUCACUUGAAGGGACUAUAAAACCAGACCCCCUGGCCCCUGGAGAUCAUACCUCUUCUACAGAAUCAAAGCUAGGGUUUCAAUUCUUCAUCCAAGUAGAGAGGAUCCCUCUAGUUCUUCUAGUUCUACCUCUAGUUCAUCUAGAUCUAGUUCUAGUUCAUCUAGUUCUAGUUCCUCUAGUUCUAGUUCUAGUUAGUUCUAGUUGUAAUCUAGAAAAUAGGGAGAGAGAAGAGGAGAGCGGAGGAGGAGGAGCCGGAUCUGUCGGAUCUUCCUCAACAUUGUACUUUUGCAGCAACUGGUUCGUUCUUCAUCGUUCUCCAGGUUCUUCAAUUCAUACUCCUGAGUUCUCUAAUUACUUUUAUUUACAUUCAAGUUAUUUAUUGGAUUCCCGCUUGCAUCAAGUGCUCUAAUCUUUGAAACAUUAGAGUAGUAAUUAAUAGAUUAGACGUGGUGUUUAGUCUUGCAAUUACCUAGAAUUGCACCCAAUCCUGCGGAUUGUUGUGGUAGCCUUAGGGUAGUGACAGCCCUAACGGUCGACGUAUUCCACCUCGUUCGGAUCGGUGUUUGUAGGACCGUAGUCAGACCUUCCUAGCCCCCUUCUCAUCUCUUUCUGUGGUUAGUGCUCUGAUGUCCCGAUAUAAAUAAUCUUGAAGUAAUUCUUGAUUCUUAGAUCAACUAGAGAACUCUCAGGAAACUUCCUCUCUUCCCACCAAAAAUAAUUAUAUAGUUAUCCUUGGGCGAUCUUGGAUCUUAAUUAGUACACUCACAUUCUCUGUGGAAAAUCGAUACUCUGGAAUACUCCCGGGUGAAAGCUACAUCGGUAUCCGUGCGCUUGCGGAUUUUUCUGUUUGCGUUUAAAAUACCCAACAAGCUUUCUGGCGCCGUUGCCGGGGAACGGUAGCUGUGCUAGUUUCGAACCAAGUCGUCCGUGUAACCUUUUUCUUUUCCUUUUUUACCACACUCACCUUACCAUUUUCACCAUACCACAUGGAUUUCACUCUAAGCAUUAAUGAGCAUGGAAUUUAUUUCAUAGCCACUUCAUUUACUCCAUGCUCAUAUGCAACAUCUUCACAAUCCAUUGGUCUCUCCAACAUCACCACAUUCGAGAUCUCCAACCCCCACUUCCUUUCUAUUUAUAAAAACUUUGAAAGGGCGGUUGUCGAUGCAUAUGUCUAUAAUAAAUUUUGCAGAUCUCGUUGAGUUGAUCUUGAUAUAGGUCAGCGUUGGAGGGGAAACCACUUCACUGACAUAAAUUGAUGGUUUCCCAAGGACAAGCUUAGUGUCCUAAAAUAAGCACUGAUCAGAUCAUAAUAUGAGCUUUUAAUUAUUUGCAACAUUACCUUGUGUGUUGAGCAUAUAAGGAUAAUUGUAAAAAUUCCUUCGGGUAUUCUUGUCACUAACCUUUCCAGGAUUGGAGCAAGAAGAUCGGAUGAAUGACAAGCACAAGGUAUGUCCAACCAAUCAUCAUACAACAUUGAAUUAAAUCAUCCAAACUUGAAUUUUGUAAAAUUCAAGCUUGGGGGAGUACUUUACAUAAAAAAAAUCCUUUGCCAUGUUGCUAUGUUGGUUGUCCCUACCUUUGAGACAUGCUCAAUUUGUUAAAUACUAAUCACACUACUUCAUCUCCACUUGAGUAGAUCUCUAUAAAUGCUCUCAUACUACCUUUAUUUGCUUUAGUAUAUGUCUAGGCUUGGAGUAGUUUCAUUUAUCUCUUAAUUAAGCAUGGUGCUUAGUUUAGGGCUGAUGAUCUUACUUCCAAGGGAGUUUAAAUAAAGCAUGAUGCCUAGGUUAAAAUGCCCUCCUAAAUCAAAUUAGACAUGGUGUCUAGGUUGAUUUUUGAGCCAAUAGUAUGCUAUAGUAGAUAUUGGAUAUUUUGUUGGAUUAACCCCUGCAGGAAAACUUUCAAUAUCAACCUGGGAGGUCCUAAGACAAACUCACAUUGGAGACAAAGAAAGAGAUGCAUGAAGUUUAACAAUUUACACAAGGAAGGCAUAGCUCACAAGAGAUGAUCCAUGGAGGGUGCCACAAACACGAUGCACAACCGCUAAGAGAGGAAAGCUUCCACAAGGUGAUACUGUACCAUCACUCUUCAAGUAAGGUAACAUCUUAAAGUACUUGACUAUCACUUCUAUAAGCUUCUCCUUUGUUCUAGCGUUCACAUGAAUAAAAGAGACAAACAUGUAUGAUUUACAACUCUAGAUUAACCAACCUUAUCGAUUCAACAUGUUUAGUCCUUCCACCUUUGUGAUCCCAUACUCUUAAUCAUAUGAGCUAAAAUGUUGCACACUCAAUCUUUGGAAGAUAUAUAAAAAAACAACAUAAGUAUAGAUAGAUUAUCUUUCCAUUAGGUUGAGUGAUCUGAUCUGACAAAUGUUUUAAAUGCUACACUCAUGAUAUUAUUAUCCAUCAAGUUUGUCUUGCUCACUAUGCUUAAGGUUAGAGAAGAACAAUACACUUUUGGUUCUGUUGGUGUUUUCCACCAACAGGGCCCAUGCACUUGAUCUCUGCCUUGUCUCUAUGAGCAGGUACACUUCGAGCAAAAUGUGAAGGACUUUUAUAACUCCCAGACUCCAAGUGAAGAACCUAGAUCUACGAGCACAAACACACUGGAGAUACUGGACACUCAGGCAAUCACUGCCCUGAGAUGCUUGAGGACGUAACUACUGGAGUAACCCUGUUGUGGAAGUAAUUACUGACCUUCUGCCGGUCAAGAGAUAGAAUCCAGGACCUCCCGUCAUCCCGAUCUCCAUCGGCAUGGUGGACUUCCUAGAAGCACUCUGCAACUUUGGCUCCAGCGUCAACAUUAUGCUCAGGGUACUCUAUGAAAAAUUCUUUACACAUCCUUUCCUAGAAACAACCAUGUGUUUGCAGCUUGCAGAUCAGACACUAAGUUUCCCAAAGGGAAUAUUGAAGAACCUCUACGUCCGAGUUGGUACCUUAUACGCUCCAGCAGACUUCGUGGUGAUAGAGACUGAUACUGAUGAGAGGGCACCCAUCAUCCUAGGGAGGCCAUUCCUGAACACCUCGGGAGCUAUCAUCCAUGCUAGUGCUGCCAAGAUCAGUGUCUACAUCAAGGGAAGGAAGGAGACGUUUUCCUUCAAGAACAAGACUACACAAAUCUCACAGCAUUCUCGACAUGAACCAAGGAAGAGGACCAACAGGAGGAACAAGAACAAGCAAAUGUGGACUGAGUCAGCUAAGAUGGUCACUGCAGCUCAAGGAGGUCAAGAUCGUCGACUUAAGUCACCAUUCCUGACCAAAAAGGACAACCCAAGUAUGCCAAACAUCCAGUGCUCCAUUAAUGGAUACAACUUCCAGAAGACGCUUUGCGACACCGGGUCAGGCAUUAACAUAAUGGCCUCAGUCACUUAUCAGCUCCUGCAUGGAACCAUGCCCCUACAACCAAAAUACAUUCAGCUUCAGAUGAUUUGAAGGUUAUUGACAUGGGAGAAGACGAGUACAAUCCACUCAUCACCAUUGGGAGACCGUUUCUCAGCACCGUUAAAGCAAUCAUCUACAUUGAAACCGGAGAAGUCCACAUGCACUUCCCCUCUGAGAAGGUACGCCGCUAUUUUACUGACCCUAACUAUAUACUUCAAGACUCUAAGCAGGUCAGGACAAGAAGAAGACGACGCAACCGUAACCAGAGGAGGAAAAUCAUAAAGGACGGAUGGGCAGACUACGAAGGAGAAGUGGUAAUGUCUGAAGACAUACAACUUGAACAGAACUGACCUAAGGAGACCGUAGCACCGAGUCAGGUAUGGAAAGAGAAGAUAGUUAUACACGAAGAGGAAGCACCGCCAGAACCACCGACUACGCCAUCUAGCGAAUCCCAGGACGAAUGAGAAAACGGAGAGUCCCGUUCGGAGGACUUAAAAACACCGAACGCCUUGCCAAGAGGUAAACUUGGUAGUUAUCUUUUUCCUUUCAAUUAUUUUAAAAUAGUUUGCUUAGUUAAUCAGGUUCACAUCAUCUUAAAAAGAAAAUAAAAAUGUUAAAAAUAGUAAGCCCCAUGUGAGUAUGCUCAUGGCAUAAAACUCAUAAGUACAUUCACUGUGGUGGCGUAAAAAUAAAUAUAUAUUCCUGUCCUAUAAAAAUGAAAAUAUAAAUAAGAUUGUGAUCCUACUAAAGAGAGUAACAUUUAUUGAGCAGGCUCAACAUGAUAAAGGCUAGAUAUUUAUGCUAACACUUAACUAGUUCCACAAAGCUUUGUUGUCUAUUUGAGCUCCAUAGAAUUCAAGGAUCAAAGAAGACUAGUAGACGGAGGACAUCCUAAUCACUGUCAGGGUGCUGCCGACAUUCAAAUACACCUCCGCCACCUGCUAACUACAUCAGAAGCAAUUACGUCAAGAUCCAGCUUGGGGGAGAGCACCCCCAUUUAUCCAGCUAAGUGUUCUACUCAAGUUUAUACUUUACUCAAAUAAUAAAAAGAUGCAUAAUCAUAAAAACCCAAAUAAAGAUUUCUGCUUAUAUAUAUAUCUUUGCUUAGUUUGCUAAAUAAAUAAAUAAAGUUUGCUAUGAACCCUCAUGAUAAGCUCUCACAUGGAAAUGAUGAAUAGUUGCUCUGCCAUGACUAGUUCUCAAAAUUGAAAUCUCUCUCAAGUUUAGACCUAACUGUUAUUAAUUAAGAUUUGCUCUAAACCUGAACUUGUGGGAAGAGUACUUGAUCUGAAGUCUAAGUCGUUAACGGAUAUGAUAUGGGAAGGUUGAGCUGCUGUUUAUCUGUUCCUAGAGAUACUAGAAUUCUGGAGAAUUUUAUUUUUGAAAAUCUUUAAAAUGUUGCAUGAUGAGUUCCUGUAUGAUGAGAGUUUAAAUUCCUACCACAGCCAUAUAUACAUGCUUGCUAGACUAUGAACCACACAUUUACUUUACUACUUAUGAGCAUUGAGUGUGGUCAAGCUGUGUAGACCCUUAGGAGCUUGUCAUGUGGUUAAAUCAAGAUUCACUUGCACGUUCACUCACACAUGCUACUUCUACUCCGAAAGUACGCAUCCACAUAUAUCCACCCAUUUCCAUCUCCAGAACCACCCAAAAAUAUUCUACUCCUAAUCCGGGAGAGAAUAGCCAAAAAUAUUUCUGUUUUUCCCUGUGAAAUAAAUGCUCAAGUUAUCUUGGUUACUACCACUUGCUAUAUUAUUUCAGGAGAUGAGUGCUCUAAAAAAAAGAAAAAAAAGAAAAAAAUAUAUAUACAAGGAAAUAAAAAGGGGCAAGUGCCCGGAACCUCGAAAGAAAAGAAAAAGUGAGACGAGAGGUAAAAAUGGACAAGUGUCCGAUAGUAGAAUUAGGGGGUACAAGAUACCCACCUGAGAGAGAAGAAAAAGAAAAUACAGAGCAUCUCAUUCUCCCCAAAAGUUUAAAAAGAGCAAGAAAGGUAUGUAUCCCCUCAAAAGAGCAUAAGUAGAAUUAGACUUUCACCAUUGUUAUCACCAUCAUCACCAUACACCAUUCAUUCGCCACACAUGCACAUCUUGAUUUGACUUAUUGACUUGUUACUCUGGAUCCAUGGUUUGACUAUGCAAUAAAUGUCUUGUAAGUAUGUAAUAGCUGUCUCCCACCUAUGAGCUCCAGAUAUCAAAACCUUAUUAGAGUAGGGUGAGAGAGAAGGCAAUGUCACUAUGCCUCAUACCAAAAAUACCACAUACUUUGAGAGAAGGCAUACACCAUUACUGCCUUGGUAAGAAUCCAAAAAUACCACAAAAGAGAAACUAGAGAGAGUCAUACAAGGAAUCUCUGAGUUUUAUUUGAAAAUCUGCAAAAAACUCCAGAGCUAUAGUUAAUCAAAGAACAAGAGACAUGGCGCUUGACUAGACUGUUCUAUCUUUUAACUACUCAAGACAGAAGUGACGGUUACAAGUCCCAUGGUGAAAGGUAAAUGAGUAAGUUUUAAGUCUUAACAGUUUACUCUAACCAGAGAUAAGAUGACAACCUUGUAUCUAAGUGGUGUUAGCUAGUGUCAACAACCUCCCCGGUUCCAAUGUAUAUGAUGGCCUUUGUGGUGUUGAGGAAUGGUCUUCCUAGGAUGAUGGGUGGAUUAUAUUCUUCUCCCAUGUUGACGACCAAGAAGUCAGUGGGGACAUAGUGGUCUUCAUUCUAGAUAGGGACAUUUUUGGCUAUCCCAUCCACGAAGCGAAAAGACUGGUCUGCCAACUACGGCUGUGCAUAGGUGGGUUCCAUAGGCAUAGUACCAUAUAGAAAGUCAUAGGUUACCUUAGCCAUGAUGUUGACACCUGAUCUAGUGUCACAGAUAGUGUUGUAGAAGUAACAUCUGUUGAUGGGGUAUAGAAUGGUCGGGACACCUAGGUCGUCCUUCUUUGUUAGAUGUGGAGACUUGAGCAGGUGGUCAUACUCCAUACAGAUCGCAGUGACCAUCUGUGCUGUCUCAGUCUUCUAGGCCUUCUACUUGCCCUUGGUUUUGGUCUUGGCCUUGUUCUAGGUGUUAUUCUUGUUUCUACCGCCGUCUGUCUCCUUCUGAGCAAGGGUUGAUAAUGUCUUGUUCUAGAAAGAAAAGGCUUCCUUGUUGCCCUUGAUGUUGAAAGUGAUCUUGGCAUUGUGCUGGCAUAGAUGAUAGCUCCGGCAGUGUUCAAGAAUGGUCAUCCCAAAAUGAUAGGAGACCUCUCAUCGAUGUCUGUGUUAACAACAGAGAAGUCUGCAGGUAUGUACGAGUUGCC
RNAcentral lists this long non-coding RNA (9638 nucleotides) under Sorghum bicolor (sorghum). RNAcentral's name for it is "long non-coding RNA (SBIC_LNC010012)". The record is from RNAcentral. Lineage: Eukaryota; Viridiplantae; Streptophyta; Magnoliopsida; Poales; Poaceae.